RNAcentral lists this ribosomal RNA (451 nucleotides) under uncultured organism. Its description in RNAcentral is "partial 16S ribosomal RNA". It matches the Rfam family "Bacterial small subunit ribosomal RNA", at positions 329 to 797 of the family's 1533-position model. The record is from RNAcentral.
ACGUACACUCCUGCGGGAGGCAGCAGUGGGGAAUAUUGGACAAUGGGCGCAAGCCUGAUCCAGCCAUGCCGCGUGAGUGAUGAAGGCCCUAGGGUUGUAAAGCUCUUUCACCGGUGAAGAUAAUGACGGUAACCGGAGAAGAAGCCCCGGCUAACUUCGUGCCAGCAGCCGCGGUAAUACGAAGGGGGCUAGCGUUGUUCGGAUUUACUGGGCGUAAAGCGCACGUAGGCGGACUAUUAAGUCAGGGGUGAAAUCCCGGGGCUCAACCCCGGAACUGCCUUUGAUACUGGUAGUCUUGAGUUCGGGAGAGGUGAGUGGAAUUCCGAGUGUAGAGGUGAAAUUCGUAGAUAUUCGGAGGAACACCAGUGGCGAAGGCGGCUCACUGGCUCGAUACUGACGCUGAGGUGCGAAAGCGUGGGGAGCAAACAGGAUUAGAAACCCCGGUAGUCCC